This is a long non-coding RNA of Oncorhynchus gorbuscha (pink salmon), 465 nucleotides long. RefSeq lists it as uncharacterized. Lineage: Eukaryota; Metazoa; Chordata; Actinopteri; Salmoniformes; Salmonidae. The record is from RefSeq and is a predicted model, not a curated record. The transcript is spliced from 3 exons.
CGACCCUAACCAUUUCAAAUCUCAACUUCAACUACAUAGGGGAGUCACAAGGACGAUGCAGAUAUUAUCGAGGAAAUGAGGCGCGCAGCACACGUUGAUAUCUUCUAACAACAAAAACAUUUGCAAACAUGUAAGGCAUGUACUUCUCCUGAUAUUGACGUGGGAGGAGCUGCCGUUUAUAAUACCCAGCAUGCUUGAGGAGUAGAGGAAAGUCCUGGGAGAUAUGAACACCAUCAUUCUUUCACAGGACCUUUGCCGAUCCCUUGGCUUGCAUCAGGGGGCAAAGUCAUUAGUGGCGAAAUGAGCUCAAGUGAAGAGAACGAGAUUGCUGGGCUCCCAGCGUGGUUUGAAACUUUACCACACAGUGCAUUCUAAUUUGAAUUUAAUUCCCAAUGUACAGUAUGUGUGUGUAAUAAAGACAAUUAUAAAAACAUAUAUUUAGGCUUAUACAAUGCUAUUUUUAUU